GAUGAACGCUGGCGGCGUGCCUAAUACAUGCAAGUCGAGCGAACAGAUGAGGAGCUUGCUCCUCUGACGUUAGCGGCGGACGGGUGAGUAACACGUGGAUAACCUACCUAUAAGACUGGGAUAACUUCGGGAAACCGGAGCUAAUACCGGAUAAUAUAUUGAACCGCAUGGUUCAAUAGUGAAAGACGGUUUUGCUGUCACUUAUAGAUGGAUCCGCGCCGCAUUAGCUAGUUGGUAAGGUAACGGCUUACCAAGGCAACGAUGCGUAGCCGACCUGAGAGGGUGAUGGGCCAAACUGGAACGGAGACACGGGCCAGCCUCCUACGGGGGGCAGAAGUAGGGAAUCUUCCGCAAUGGGCGAAAGCCUGACGGGGCAACGCCGGGUGAGGGAUGAAGGUUUUCGGAUCGUAAAACUCUUUUAUUAGGGAAAAAAAAAUGGGUAAGUAACUAUGCACGUCUGGACGGUACCUAAUCAAAAAGCCACGGCUAACUACGU
This 496-nucleotide ribosomal RNA is filed under the name uncultured bacterium. RNAcentral's name for it is "partial 16S ribosomal RNA". It matches the Rfam family "Bacterial small subunit ribosomal RNA", at positions 28 to 506 of the family's 1533-position model. The record is from RNAcentral.